UGCGGUGGCGGACACGUCUCUCUUCCUAUUGGUUUCCGUCCGUUUCGUUUUGGGACAUCCGAUGUCUCUCCGGUACCUGCGGGUGUACAGUCGCUGUAUGGGUGGAGUGUUAGUCAGUGACAGCUGAAACCACAGCAUGCUCUAGCUAGUAAGAAAAAACAAAAACCUUUCUCCAGGCUCAUCCUUGGAAUCCAUAUGGAAGGGGAAAUUUAUUCCAGGGGAGCUGCUGCUGCUACAUAGCCAACACAUACACAUAGUUUAUAGUAAUGGUGAUUCAGUCUACAUCCUACUGGCAGCAUCACUCGACUGUACCAGAGUUGUCCAACUAUCAAGCAGACUUCACCCCUUCACCCCCAGUUUGUCAUAUUCCCUGUAGGUGAUAACUAGAUGAUAUCAGGACAGAUGAAGAUAUUUAUUGGAUUUUAUUCCAUGGAUAUCAUACAUAUAGAUAUUGAUGUAAUAAUAGUAUAUAAAUUGAUAUCAUACAUAUAGACCAGUGUUUCCCAACCCAG
Long non-coding RNA from Hyla sarda, 512 nucleotides. RefSeq lists it as uncharacterized. The transcript has 3 exons. The record is from RefSeq and is a predicted model, not a curated record. Lineage: Eukaryota; Metazoa; Chordata; Amphibia; Anura; Hylidae.